UGGUACUCAAAGUUACAAGCUUUACUGAUGUGGCUCGCUUUAAUUUGAAGAUAAAAUAUGUUUGACUGAUUAACACAAGAUUUAACAUGCUUGUUGGUUCAUCGAUCGGGAUCAUAGUAGCAUGUGGUGGCAACUAGAAAAAGGGCACCUCAGACACACAACUCCAAGUGUUAAUGGGGUUAUGUGUGUGCCUGUUUCCAGCAUUCUAGGAGUGGGGACUGCACUUUGUAAGGUCUUCCCAGAGCUGCAGACUUCACUGGUGUGGCUACUAUUUGACAUGGCAAAUUUGAACUGGGCUUGUUAUUGGAUGGUACUCAAAGUUACAAGCUUUACUGAUGUGGCUCGCUUUAAUUUGAAGAUAAAAUAUGUUUGACUGAUUAACACAAGAUUUAACAUGCUUGUUGGUUCAUCGAUCGGGAUCAUAGUAGCAUGUGGUGGCAACUAGAAAAAGGGCACCUCAGACACACAACUCCAAGUGUUAAUGGGGUUAUGUGUGUGCCUGUUUCCAGCAUUCUAGGAGUGGGGACUGCACUUUGUAAGGUCACUUUUGGACCCAAGAAUCAAUAUAGAAGAAUCAUGCCUAAUUCUGCAUAUACUACUGCUCAUUCUAUUCAACUUGAAUGUGAACCUAGUUACAGAUAGUAAAUAAACCAUCUUUACACUGUUUGCAUGGUAAAACAUGCCAGCUUAAUGAAUGCCUUUCGCAUCAAAAUUAAUUGCAGAUUCUGAAAUCGACUUGACAACUUAUCAAAUGAAUCUCUUAAGUGUGCAGAGGAAAUUACAACAUUUCAUCAGAAUUUUCUGCUGCUUCUGUGAUUCCGAAGAUUCGUGAUCCAAGGACUAGGGAGGCUUUGCGUGCC
RNAcentral lists this long non-coding RNA (860 nucleotides) under Daucus carota (carrot). RNAcentral describes it as "long non-coding RNA (DCAR_LNC000878)". Lineage: Eukaryota; Viridiplantae; Streptophyta; Magnoliopsida; Apiales; Apiaceae. The record is from RNAcentral.